This 253-nucleotide ribosomal RNA is filed under the name uncultured bacterium. Its description in RNAcentral is "partial 16S ribosomal RNA". It matches the Rfam family "Bacterial small subunit ribosomal RNA", at positions 524 to 776 of the family's 1533-position model. The record is from RNAcentral.
UACGGAGGGUGCAAGCGUUAAUCGGAAUUACUGGGCGUAAAGCGCGCGUAGGCGGCUUGGCAAGUUGAAUGUGAAAUCCCUGGGCUUAACCUAGGAACUGCAUCCAAAACUGCCAGGCUAGAGUACAGAAGAGGUCAAUGGAAUUUCCGGUGUAGCGGUGAAAUGCGUAGAGAUCGGAAGGAACAUCAGUGGCGAAGGCGAUUGACUGGGCUGAUACUGACGCUGAGGUGCGAAGGCGUGGGGAGCAAACAGG